RNAcentral lists this ribosomal RNA (120 nucleotides) under uncultured bacterium. Its description in RNAcentral is "partial 16S ribosomal RNA". It matches the Rfam family "Archaeal small subunit ribosomal RNA", at positions 747 to 866 of the family's 1478-position model. The record is from RNAcentral.
CCAGCCGUAAACGAUGCUCGCUAGGUGUCAGGCAUGGCGCGACCGUGUCUGGUGCCGCAGGGAAGCCGUGAAGCGAGCCACCUGGGAAGUACGGCCGCAAGGCUGAAACUUAAAGGAAUU